CUUGCACACACUGCCCGUCGCUGCAUCCGAGCUGGGGUUGGACGAGGGGCUGUCUUGUUGGCGGUUUCGAGUCCGACCCCGGUGAGGAGGCAGAAGUCGUAACAAGGUGGCCGCACGGGAACGUGUGGCCGGAUCACCUCCA
RNAcentral lists this ribosomal RNA (142 nucleotides) under Candidatus Caldarchaeum sp. RNAcentral's name for it is "partial 16S ribosomal RNA". It matches the Rfam family "Archaeal small subunit ribosomal RNA", at positions 1336 to 1478 of the family's 1478-position model. The record is from RNAcentral. Lineage: Archaea; Thermoproteati; Nitrososphaerota; Candidatus Caldarchaeales; Candidatus Caldarchaeaceae.